Long non-coding RNA from Panicum virgatum (switchgrass), 396 nucleotides. RefSeq lists it as uncharacterized. The record is from RefSeq and is a predicted model, not a curated record. The transcript is spliced from 2 exons. NCBI's taxonomy places the organism in Eukaryota, Viridiplantae, Streptophyta, Magnoliopsida, Poales, Poaceae.
AUACUUCUAGGAGGUGGCGUAUCCGUAUCCGAUAUGUAUCGGAUACGGAUACGCCCCGGAUACGCCUCGGAUAUGUUUCUAGCCGUAUCCUAAAAAAACGGAUACGUAUUUGCUUGGAUACGCGUAUCCGAUACUUUUGGGCCAGAUGGGAUACAGCCCAAAGCAGUAAUCAGCCCACCCAAAUGAUGUUUUGGUAGUAAGAGAUGAUACAAAAUGAUGAACUUGCUGCAAUAGAACUGUAGAACUAGAUGAGCAGCAACUGAAGAACCCCUUGUGGAAUCAGUUGUGCUUUUCGAGAAUGCUAGUUAUAGAGGGAGGUAAUGUUAUAUGGACAUGCAAGUAUUGCACAUCUGAGUAUAGGGGAAGUUACUCAAGAGUAAAAUCUCACUUGCUGAA